CCCCCCCAAGACUACCUUCCUGACUUUGCAGUGUGUCCACAGCUUCCUCCCUGGAAAGGCAUGAAGAGCUACUUUGAGCCCAAUCCCCAGCUUCAUCAGUUCCUGGAAGCCCUGCCCAACCAAGCGAGGGGAACGCAGGGCGUCUUCACCCUGCUCCUUUCAUCCUCCACGGAUCUCUAAGCACCAACUGGUUCAUCACCCCAAUGACGCGGACCCUUUUAUGAGGCUGCUUUCAUGUCAGCCGCUUGGGAGUGCCAUCUCAGCGUUAAGCCUAGAAAGGAUGACAUGGCGCGCCAGCCCCUGCCCCGGAGUUUAUAAGGCAGCUCAUGGGGUGAGGUCCCUUUUCCUCAGUGUCCCCUGUACUCCUACUUCUCAUAAACUCUACCCAGCACGCUUGUCUGGCCAGAUGUUGUCUGGAUUGGGAAGACAGCAUAAUUAUCUUUGUAGUACCACUACCACACACAACAGUGUUGGAUUAAAUUGAGGCCCUCUGAGGUUAAAUGUGGGGAGGAGACGACCUUGAAAUUGUAAUUUAAAGCCAAAAGGAACGAAAAUAAGACAAUGGAAUUUAAAUUUCCCUUAAGGAAAGUGUGUGUCAAAGUCCCUAACCUUAUUUGUAGGUCCUUAUCAUUACUGACGGAGUGGAAACUACCUGGGCCACUGGAUAGAGAAUGAUAGCUGGACCUCAGUGAAUUGAAAUGCUGUGACCCUUUAAUAUGGUUCCUCCUGUCAUGGUGAUCCCCAGCCGUAAAAUUAUUUUUUGUUGCUACUUUGUAGCUAUAAAUUUUCUACUCUUAUGAAUUGUAAUGUAAAUAUUUUUGGAGAUAGAGGUUUGCCAAAAAAAGUCAUGACCCACACAGGUUGAGAACCACUGCCUUAAUUAACGAAUUUAAUUUUUCACCCAUUUUUCAACAACGGGGGGGGGGGAAACAAUUUUUUUCUUCCUUCCUGAAUUUCUUAUGUUAGAUUUCUUCUGUUCAUCUGUUCAACAUGAAACCUGGGGUAAAUCACACAGACCCACUGCCCUUAGCUUGAAACCUUGUCAUCAAUGCUUUUUGUCCCCACACCACACAUCCCCCAAGUCUUUUCAUCCCAAACUCUUAAACAAUAAACUUAGAGACUGCAAAUAGUCUCCUAACUGAUCCUCAGUUUCAUCUUUGCCAAGCCUUGGCUCUUCCGAGAGAAUGACCUUUCUUGCAAAAGUGGAUGGAGUGUGUCAUUUCCCUGUAAUAAACUUACCAAUGGCGUGC
RNAcentral lists this long non-coding RNA (1250 nucleotides) under Mus musculus (house mouse). RNAcentral describes it as "long non-coding RNA chr11:100620010-100621260". The record is from RNAcentral. Lineage: Eukaryota; Metazoa; Chordata; Mammalia; Rodentia; Muridae.